UGCACGCAGGUGCGAUGGGGGGACUCCGAGUGCAGUCUUCCAAAACGGAAGACCGCUUUUCUGCACUUUAAGCAGGUGCCGAAACAAGGGGUGGGCAAGACGGCUGCCAGCCGCCGCGGUAAUAGCCGCACCCCAAGUGGUAGUCAUUGUUAUUGGGCUUAAAGUGUUCGUAGCCGGACACACAAGUCUGCUGUGAAAUCCAUGCGCUUAACGUAUGGACAUGCAGCGGAUACUGUGUGUCUAGGAACCGGACGGCGUCGAGGCUAUUCCCGGGGUAGGGGUGAAAUCCUAAAAUCCUGGGAGGAGCACCUGUGGCGAAAGCGCUCGACGAGUACGGAUUCGACGGUGAGGAACGAAAGCCAGUGGAGCAAAGC
This 374-nucleotide ribosomal RNA is filed under the name uncultured archaeon. Its description in RNAcentral is "bacterial SSU rRNA". It matches the Rfam family "Archaeal small subunit ribosomal RNA", at positions 356 to 725 of the family's 1478-position model. The record is from RNAcentral.